RNAcentral lists this long non-coding RNA (2261 nucleotides) under Monodelphis domestica (gray short-tailed opossum). Its description in RNAcentral is "lncRNA (ENSMODG00000051095.1)". The record is from RNAcentral. Lineage: Eukaryota; Metazoa; Chordata; Mammalia; Didelphimorphia; Didelphidae.
CUAAUUACAUUUUAAUCUGGUUCCAUCUGCACUUGGAAACUUUGUAGGACACUUGUGGUCCAUAGGCUGGGAGAGCGGCACUUUCCCCAUGAUUUAGCUUUAAAACCCUUCCAUUCAGGACACUGGAUAGAAAACUGCGCCUUGCAAUCACCUGCUGUUUGUAUCAGUGACACUGGAGAGGAAAAUUGUUUUGCUCUCUAUCGCCCUCUACUGUUGAACGAUAUGUUCUCUGAGGCCCUUUUCAACUCUAGAGCAGAGAUCCUUUGAAGCCAGUGAAGGAGGUGGUAAAAGGAUUUAGCACUGGAUUUUACCACCCUCUGUGGACUCAGGAAGACUCAGUUCUGGGCCACAGGACAUAGGCCAAAUGGACAAUUAGAAAAAUCGUCACAAGGAAUCCCUUCCUUCCUUCCUUCCUUCCUUCCUUCCUUCCUUCCUUCCUUCCUUCCUUCCUUCCUUCCUUCCUUCCUUCCUCCCUUCCUCUCUUCCUCCUUUCUUUCUUUCUUUCUUUCUUUCUUUCUUUCUUUCUUUCUUUCUUUCUUUCUUUCUUUCUUUCUUUCUUUCUUUCUUUCUUUCUUUCUUUCUUUCUUUCUUUCUUUUUCUUUCUUUCUUUCUUUCUUUUUCUUUCUUUCUUUCUUUCUUUCUUUCUUUCUUUCUUUCUUUCUUCUUUCUUUCUUUCUUUCUGUCUUUCUUUCUGUCUUUCUUUCUUUUUUCUUUCUUUCUUUUUUCUUCCUUCCUUCCUCCCUCCCUCCUUCUUUCCUUUCUUCCUUCCUUCCCUCCUUCCUUCCUUCCUAGAGCUAUCUUAGAAUAAGCACACCCUCUCUGUAAAUAAUUAUAGUUGGUAUUCAUAUAGCACUAUCUAAUCUUUAAUUAGUUUAAAAGCUAGAGCUCAACUUGAAAUUCGUUAUUUUGUCCACUUUGCCUAACUACUCUCCCGCUUUACUCCCAGGAUUGGUGGCAGAGUCCAAGGUCUCUCUUUUGGUUCUUGUCCUUGAAGAAGGGAACUGACUUUGAUUAGAUGUCUCCAGCACAGAGGACUCAGUGAAGCCUGAGAAUAACUCAUUUUGUCACCUGUCUUUUCCCCAGUGAUUGAAACGCCUUCAUCUCAAUACUGACUACCCCCAUAUCCUAGACUGGCAUGACCAGUGGCAUUCCAGGAGGUCACUCUCUCAGGGAGUAGAGACAUGACACAAGCCCUCCAGACAUGUGAUUGUGUUGACCAAAGCCUCAGAGAAUGCACAGAAGUUGGAGGGAACACAGUAAUUCCUUCUGCUGCUAAUUGGAAUACCACUCCCAGUUCUAACUGACUUUGCUCUAGUUUCUAUGGUUACAGAAUGCCAUUGGGCAAGUUUCCAAAUCACUAGCAGGUCUACAUUUCUUUCUCUUACAACUGCCCCAAUGCCCAUCAACAUGGAGAGCUUCCAAAAAGAGCUUCUACUGAUACAAAUUGUCACCCACUAGACAAUUUGUAAUAUUAUUUGCCAACCUAUACCCUUGAGUGGUUGAGAGCUUUGCCCAAGAUCACAGGGCCUGUGAGAGAGGAAAGGAACCCAGGUCUUUCUGACUCUCAGACCUUAGAGUGGCUCUCUGUCUCCUAUAACACGGUGCCCUUCCCUAGAUCCUAAUUAGACUCCCUAGUAAAUACUUUCUAGUUGGUUAAUCAUCAUUUCAUCCAUAUCUAGUUUCCCUUUGAGGCCUGCCUCCUCCUCUUUUUUUUAAAAUAACCUUUACCUUCCAUUUUAGAAUCAAUACUAUGUGUUGGUUCUAAGUCAGAAGAGUGGUCAGGGCUAGGCAAUGAGGAUUAAGUGACUUGCCCAGGGUCACACAACUAGGAAGUAUCUAAAGCCAGAUUUGAACCCAAGACCUCCCAUCUCUGGGCCUGGCUCUCACUCAACUAAGCAACCUAGCUUCCCCCUUCUUCCUCUUUUUUUUACUGGAUCGUGCCAGGGUAUGAAUACAACUGUUAUCUCCGCACCCCCACCCUAUCCUCCAAUCCUGGCAAGCUGUUCGCCCAUAUAAUCUUAGAGCUGGAACAUUAUCUCUUGUUUUUGUUAAGUUUAUAUGUAGCCUGGAAACUCAGGCUGUCACAUAAUGCAUAUUUGUUUUGAAAAACCUUUGAAAGAGAGGAUUAAAUCAUAUUCAGUAGUUUUGUGUUUUUUAUGUUUGAAAAUAUAUAGGAUUUAUUUCACUGAGUGAUUGAAGAGAGGGGAAUGUAUUGCCCUGCAUGAGUAUUGUUGAAUAAAUGCUGGGAUGUGCUGGAGCCA